RNAcentral lists this ribosomal RNA (429 nucleotides) under Chloroflexota bacterium. RNAcentral's name for it is "Chloroflexi bacterium partial 16S ribosomal RNA". It matches the Rfam family "Bacterial small subunit ribosomal RNA", at positions 355 to 776 of the family's 1533-position model. Lineage: Bacteria; Bacillati; Chloroflexota. The record is from RNAcentral.
UGGGGAAUAUUGCACAAUGGGCGCAAGCCUGAUGCAGCCAUGCCGCGUGUAUGAAGAAGGCCUUCGGGUUGUAAAGUACUUUCAGCGGGGAGGAAGGGAGUAAAGUUAAUACCUUUACUCAUUGACGUUACCCGCAGAAGAAGCACCGGCUAACUCCGUGCCAGCAGCCGCGGUAAUACGGAGGGUGCAAGCGUUAAUCGGAAUUACUGGGCGUAAAGCGCACGCAGGCGGUUUGUUAAGUCAGAUGUGAAAUCCCCGGGCUCAACCUGGGAACUGCAUCUGAUACUGGCAAGCUUGAGUCUCGUAGAGGGGGGUAGAAUUCCAGGUGUAGCGGUGAAAUGCGUAGAGAUCUGGAGGAAUACCGGUGGCGAAUGCGGCCCCCUGGACGAAGACUGACGCUCAGGUGCGAAAGCGUGGGGAGCAAACAGG